RNAcentral lists this ribosomal RNA (524 nucleotides) under uncultured bacterium. RNAcentral's name for it is "partial 16S ribosomal RNA". It matches the Rfam family "Bacterial small subunit ribosomal RNA", at positions 28 to 523 of the family's 1533-position model. The record is from RNAcentral.
GACGAACGCUGGCGGCGUGCCUAAUACAUGCAAGUCGAGCGCAGGAAAUCGACGGAACCCUUCGGGGGGAAGUCGACGGAAUGAGCGGCGGACGGGUGAGUAACACGUAAAGAACCUGCCCUCAGGUCUGGGAUAACCACGAGAAAUCGGGGCUAAUACCGGAUGGGUCAUCGGACCGCAUGGUCCGAGGAUGAAAGGCGCUUCGGCGUCGCCUGGGGAUGGCUUUGCGCUGCAUUAGCUAGUUGGUGGGGUAAUGGCCCACCAAGGCGACGAUGCAUAGCCGACCGGAGAGGGUGAUCGGCCACACUGGGACUGAGACACGGCCCAGACUCCUACGGGAGGCAGCAGUAGGGAAUCUUCCACAAUGGACGAAAGUCUGAUGGAGCAACGCCGCGUGAACGAUGAAGGCCUUCGGGUCGUAAAGUGCUGUUGUAAGGGAAGAACAAGUGCCGCAGGCAAUGGCGGCACCUUGACGGUACCUUGCGAGAAAGCCACGGCUAACUACGUGCCAGCAGCCGCCGUAA